GCCAACUGGCUACCAUGCACUCUGGAUUGUGGAGGAGGAUCUCUUCCGGCCAGCCGCCCAAACGACGAGUCUAGGGCUUUGUUUAGUUCCAAAAUAUUUUGUGCUAAAUAUAAAAUUUCUUUGAUAUUUUGUAUUUUGAAAGUAAACAUACCUAAAAUAUUUCGGUCCUAAAUUUUAUGGAAAAUUAAAUAGGGACAUUAAGGCCUUGUUUAGUUCUGUUUUUUUUUUUUUUGCAAAAUGGACAUUGUAACACUUUCGUUUGUAAUUGACAAAUAUUGUCCAAUAAUAGAAUAAUUAGGCUCAAAAGAUUUGUCUCACAAAUUAUAUAUAAAUUGUGCAAUUAGUUAUUUUUUAUCUAUAUUUAAUGCUUUAUACAUGUGCCGUAAGAUUCGAUGUGACAGAUAAUUAAAAAAUUUUGCAAAACUUUUUGGAAAGUAAACAUCAAAACCCAAAAAAAUUGGUGUUAGAAUUUGGUGGGUUGCUCAAGGUUUUGGAUUUUAGUUUUUUUUUUACAAAAUACUUCAUAAACUAAGGCUUGUUUAGAUGCGAAAAGAUUUUAGAUUUCGCUACUGUAGUACUUUCGUUUGUUUGUGGCAAAUAUUGUCCAAUUAUGGACUAACUAGGAUCAAAAGAUUCGUCUCGCGAUUUACAGCAGUAGCCCUCGACCGAAGGCAGCGGUGACUCGGUCUUGUUUAGUUAC
This 700-nucleotide long non-coding RNA is filed under the name Sorghum bicolor (sorghum). Its description in RNAcentral is "long non-coding RNA (SBIC_LNC015110)". The record is from RNAcentral. Lineage: Eukaryota; Viridiplantae; Streptophyta; Magnoliopsida; Poales; Poaceae.